Molecule: long non-coding RNA, 2521 nt
Organism: Limulus polyphemus (Atlantic horseshoe crab)
Lineage: Eukaryota; Metazoa; Arthropoda; Merostomata; Xiphosura; Limulidae
Exons: 4
Source: RefSeq, a predicted model, not a curated record
UUUGCGGCACUACAAAAUCCGAUAAAGAAGAAGAAACUAGGAUGUUAGAAAUAUUUUUGUACUACGAUUAAUCAGGUCAAGGAUUGAUCCCAGGGAAGUCAGCUGUAUAAUUUCAGCUAUCUUACUGUGGGCGUCCCUGGUUGGGAACUGAUAGGUUAGAAGGGCGCAGCUGGUCAGCACCUCACACCAACAACUACUGAUAUAAUCUCGUGUGACCGAAUAGUUGGAGUUGAUCGCCACUAGUAUAGCGUACAUAUUUCUCCAAAGCGCGGAACAUGUUUUUUCUGCAUCAGGUCGGGAACCACGAACCCUCGGAUUCACAGAUCGACCACGCUAACCACUAAGUUACGCCAAAAGCGACGAUACUUAACGAUGUUUCAAUGGGUGUAGCCGUUCUUAAUUUUGGACUGAUGAGAGGGAAAGCAGUAGGUCAACUGUGCCAUUGACAAUAAGGUCUCUGACUAUCAUUUAUCUAAGACUUCCGAGCGUGUUCAAAGCACCACUUCUCGAACUAUGGACUCUUCAAUGAACAGCCUGGAAAGUUAACUACUGGACCACGCUCGGCCCCUAAGUGACUGAUACCUUAAGGCAAGAUAAAGUUGGCAAGUAAUCACACAAUCCUGGGCAGUAUGAAGAGCAAGUAAUCACACAAUCCUGGGCAGUAUGAAGAGCAAGUAAUCACACAAUCCUGGGCAGUAUGAAGAGCAAGUAAUCACAAUCCUGGGCAGUAUGAAGAGCAAGUAAUCAUACAAUCCUGAGCAGUAUGAAGAACAUUUUUGAUUAUAUUCAAUUUAAUAAAAUUUAAAACUAAAAACCUACCAUGAAAGAAGAAGAUAUACAAUCAGUAGUCUUCCAUUGUAGAGUGAGAUAACAACUCACUAAAUAACGUGAAGAAUCUUCAUAAAGUGAAGGUAGUAUGUAUCCCAUCAUGCUCUCCCUCAUCUUGAACUAAGAUAUUAACUUACUACAUUCCGCAAGUAAAAUAUCCACUUACCACAAAUGAGGGACAGUCUUCAUAAAAAUUGGGGGUUACUGAAUAUCCCAUCAGUAAUCCCCUUUUUCAAAUAAUACAGAAAUUUACCACAUUUCAGGGACAGCAUGAUAUCUCAUCAGUAAUCCCUCAUAUUUUGAAGUAAGCCAUCAACUUCUAAAUAUUCUACGGACAAUCUUUAUAAAUUGGGGGUAUUAGAUUAUAUCAUUUGUAAUUCCCAUCAUUUUGAAGUAUGACAACAUCGUGUAUCACUAGAGAGUGGUCACCAAAAUUAAAGAAACGACCCUAAAGGGGCUGUAAAGAGUGGUCCUUUCUUCAUCAGGACCAUCAGCAAUCUUCACCAUUGUGAUGGUUUGGCAUCUUACUCUUGUCUUUCUUAUAUACAAACGAGUACACAUUUUUAUAAAAGAGGGUAUAUAACUAUAUGCACUUUUCUCAGGGCAACCCAGGUGAUAAUAUGAGCUAUAUAUUAGUUUUAUAACUUGUUUAUUCUCAUAUCUUCUGUAUAAAUAAAACAAAGAUGUCCGUCAAUCUGUCGGGUGUCAAAGUUAUUGUAAGGAGCUGGCUUAACCGAUAUUAUUGAAAUUUGGUAGAGAAACUCAGAUGGACUCUUUGAAUAUUGAGUUCAAAUGGAUAAUUAAUCCGAUAAACAUUUCGUGUUUGGCAGCCAUUUUAAUUUCAUCACCUCAAUGCCGCGAAUGAGGGUUGAACUGCAUGAGGAGGUCGGUUGGUAGCCGACACCAAAUAUAGGUGAAGUAUAAUGGCAUGCGUAGCACGGGUAAACAUGUUGUGUGUUACUGCUUAAAAUAGUGGAAAUAAGUCUCCAUUUAUGGUAUUGCUUUUUAGAUCCGGUAUUUCCACGAAUCAUCACUUGCUAUAAACCACGCAUACAUGUAUACACUUACAUUUGUUUGUUUACAUGUGCAUAAAAGAUACAGUCAAAGCAAUUUAUUACGAUAUUUUGUUGUUAAUACUUCUAAUAUUUAGCAACAUAAAUCUGUAUUCAGAACAUUAAAGGCUUAAGGACACAACAAAGCUUUUCGAAGUCAAUUUCUGGCCUAAUUAUACAGUUGUUUGUAAAGAAACAUUCUACCAAAUUAAAAACACUAGUGAGAAACAUUUUACUUUUAAGCCACGUCUUCAAUGGUUCGAUGUUACUUAAAAAAAAAAGAGAAAAAAAAGUACCAAAACCAAACCAAAAUUAUCCCAUAAGGUUCCGUUCGAAAUUUGUCAACGAUUUUAUGUACGAUUGUACUUGCUAUAAUUAAAUUUUGAAGUUACUGACCAAUUUUUUUUUGGUGGCUGUGUAGUGCUGACAGUCGGGAAAACGUAAGUAUUGAUUAUCUAGCUCCGAUACAUUUUAUAAUGUACCAAAUACUCUUGUCAUUCUCCAUUUCAGACUCAGCUCCUUUACCCAAACAAGAACCUUCGGUGGUUACACAAAACAGAAUCAUUUCAACAGAUCUCCCAUUUAAAGCAACGCGAGAAACAGAUUUCGUUAUUAUAAAUUAGAGUCAAGUAUUUAGCUGA